UGGUUUGUAGUUUCAUUUUCUUUUACAUCAAAUGCUGAGUACCAUUUUACAAAAACGGGGAAAAAAAACAGCAACACAAAAGUCAUGUUAGAAAAUUUAAACAUUUUAAUAAAUAAAAACUGAUGUAAUAUACACCAUUAUGAAUAUACAACUACAACAAGCAUACCAAGACAUUUGAGAUACAAAAAAUUGACAGUUCAAUUUAGAUUCUUUAAAAGCUUCAAUUUUUAGGAAGAGUGGGGAGGUGAGCAGUGAUUACAAUAGUCAUACAUUCCUGUUAGUGUUUGUGCCAACAAAUAUCAAAAAGCAUCACGAGGACUGAUUUCUCAGAGAUGGGGAACAUAAAAAUGGAUGAAAUACACAUUUGGACUAAAGAUUUCCAUGAAAAGACAUUUUGAGGUACUGAGUUGUCUACUCCUGUAAUUAACAAUGAACACACUUAUGUUUGUGUUGUUUUCCAGAUGCACUGUAACUCAAAGCAUUCCUUUAUGUCACAGGAAGACUGAACAAUUAAGAGAAGACAAUGAGCACAGUUCUGUUUAAAAGAAAUAAAACAUUGUAUUGCAUUUUGUGAUGAGAAAGAAAGAAAGUUUUCAAAAGGUUUCACGUGAUAUUUGAACUUAGUACACAAUGAGCCAAAGGAGUAUGUGAGUAGGUUGAAAAAGCAUCUUUAGGAAACACUUUUUAGAUGCUUUUUCUGGUCUUCAAACAUAGCGAUGCUACAGGCUGCUCCUCUCAUGGGGAUUUUUGGGGUAAGUUGAAUUAUACCCCAUCGGUUUAACCUACCACCUAGCAUUAAAGAGCACCUGCUGGGAGUUAGCAUGAUUCUUUGAUCUUAAACAAUGCUUCUCCAGGGAUUUUAAAUGAUGUUGAUGACUAUUGAAAGUCACGGUGACCUUGUUUGUUUACUCAGCACCAAACACAAUGUGUGGAUACAAUUUGCAACCACAAAUACAGAAAACUUUAAACAACUCUAAAGUCUCCACACACACAAAAAAAAAAUCAGUUAAAAAAAAUCAUCAUGAUGUGUUUUUGAGUGAAUUACCCAUUAAAUUUCCUUGCUUUCAAAUUUGCCACUCCAAAUGUUACUCCAAUUGAAUCUGUGUAUUCCCUGAAACAACAGCAGUCAAAGAAAACCUCCUGGAACAUAUAAGAGAACCAGGACAAACGACUGGCCAGACAACAACCUACAUUGCAAUACAGUACAGGAUUGUGUAGCUACAUUUUGUCUGAAGCAAGGAAAUACCUAACUUUAAAAAAAAAAAGCACCACAGAUGUUUUUAAAUAGCACCAGUUGUCAGAAUGUAUAUGACAUGUUUCUUGUCCUUUUCUUUUUGGCAAUGUACAGCAGUGAACUGAAUGUCUGGAGUAACUUUUAGCAGCUGCUGCAAUGCUCGACCUCCACUUGAGUGCGAAAUCCAGGAGAAUGUUCAGUAAGUUGCACAUGCUUCAGUUUCCAACAAAAAUCAAACAUUUGGAGCCCCCCUUACAUCAGUUCCAAAACAGCAGCACAAAGCACUGCUUCUGUUACACAUAUACUGAAAUAUACACAUAUACACUGUCAAAUAUUAUCAGUCUGCACAGUUUGUGAAUUCCAUAAAUAUAACCUACAAUUAGAUCUCUGUGCUCUAAUGUGUGAAGAUUGCAAGAGAGCACCGUACCGAUUCUUUCAUGCCAAAGUAGAUUCAAAAAUGUUUAACUGCAGUAGCCAAAAAGGUCUAAAAAAAGGUCUAAUGAUGUUAACCUAACACAGAGCAAUACUCCUCUCCAUAAUGAAUACAUAAGCAGUGUGGGGUGUGGAAGGUGCAAAAACAAUUCAACAGGUACAUUUGCAAAUGUACAUUACUAUAAAAACUAGCUCGCUGCAACCUUCUCUGAGAUUCUCUGUGUAAUAGACAAUGAGAUAUACAGUACAGUGUGGUGCACCAUUCUCUUUUGUUUUGUAUACAAUUAAACAUACAUAAUUCUCUACUUUGUGUACAAUUCUGCAGCGCUACAAUAUAAAGCAGUAGAUGGAUAUAAAAAUAAUAGAAUAGAAUAUAGACUUGUACAUUCUUGAAAACAAGUACUGUCCCCAAAUAUAGAUAGUCGUGUCUUAUAUAUAUAUAUAUGUGUGUAUAUAUAUAUAUAUAAUCUGUCUCUAUAUUAUUUUAUUAUUAAACUAAUUUCUAGGAUUUAGAACAUUUCCAUCACUCACGUAUGUUAUGGACACUGUUACAUCAUGUUAUAAUGUGUCACUAAGCAUACCCUACUACAGUUCGCACCCAGCCAAUAUAGUCGAUGUGCAUUGUAGUUUCUUCUACACGCACACACACACAACAAGGAUGUAUGUGCAUAUAUAUAUAUAUAUAUAUAUAUAAUGUUGAGAGGGCGUGAGACAACGGAUGUUAAUUUCAGUUAUUAUUUACAUGGUAGUAACAAACUUUUUUCUUAAACUGUGAUCUGUUUUCUGCACUUUAGUUUGUAAUGUAGUUUCAUACAUUACUCCAGGCUGAAGUAAUACGUCUGCAUAUGUAUUACUUGCAGCUGUCUGCUGCUGGCUUUUAAGUAGCUUUUGUUUGCAUGUCUAUUAUUACUGUACAUCCUUUCUUCAAUCAAAGGAUGCCUUUUUUUCAACAACAAACUGUACUCAAAAGUGUUUAACAAAUAUGACUAUGUUAUUUAUUUAUGGGCUUGUAGUCCCCAUAAUGAAUGUUUAAAAAGACUUUGCAGAGACGUGAGCUGUUUUUUCAGGGUAGUGAUGUAUGAUGGAUUUCAUCACUGUAACAGUUUGCAGUUCACAGCUAUGAUGUUAAAGCAAUAUCAAAGCAACCUCUGUGAUAAUGACUGACAAUGACUGAUGCCAGUGUUUACAUAUAAACUGAAAAUUUGAGCUCAUAAAAAAUAAUGAAAAUGAGGAAAAAGAUGAGUCUGGUUGCAUUUAGCAACUAAAUCUAUUUUGUAAGUAAACAAACAUUUUUCCUUUAACAUGUGCAGCAUGUAUUAGCACCAGGUAUUCUUUCUCAUUUAGCACAUGGGGUAAAAUCCUCUUUAGCAUUUAAAAAUGUGAACAUCUUCAACAAUAUGAUGACUGGUCACUGAAAGAGGUGCUCCUCAGUUCAGGGACUGAGUGAUACAGUACUGAGAUUUUCCUCAAAAAGUGUCUUUGAAUGCGUGAUUUUAAAAAAUGUGAAAUUCCUGCUUCAGUACCAUCAACUGCAAAUCAUCAUAUUUGGCUCAAAAUGUAGAGCAGUAUAGUGAGCUGAGUAAUACAUGAUUUCACAAAGACACACUAAUCAAGCAUGGGUUUUGUGUGUGUGUGUGUGUGUGUGUGUGUGUGUGUGUGUGUGUGUGUGUGUGUGUGUGUGUGUGUGUGUGUGUGUGUGUGUCCAAAGUACAGUUUGUGAUCUACACAGAGAAAAGAAAAUGAUGUAAAUAAUAAAAAAAUAUAAAAUACAUGGAAUAUCUCUAAUAUAAGACAAAUUGAUAUUUUGAAUUUAUUUUGUUAAUCAAAUUUCAUCUCAUUUUUGAGAGAUGUUACUGCCACAUUCAGUGCAAAAAUACACUACCAAUCUUUCUUACAUUACAAAAUGUAAUAGCACAUUUGGUAAUGUCUUUUUUCAUUGCCAAACUAUGAGUAUUUUUCUCUUUAAAAUAUUUAUUUCUGCAUAUAUGUAUUCUGGAUGCAACAGUCAGGCAACUUUUGCACCUUAAAAUAACUGCUUCAGACUCUCAUAACUGUCCUGGGAAAGUCGCGUAAUGCUUUAUAACAUAAUGUAACACACUACCACCAAUGGGUCUUCACCUAGCUAGAGGACAAAACUACCUUUGUAUUCUCAAUAUGGAAACAAUGGCAGCAGCAAUGUGAAAGAACAUGACAUUUAUAGAAGGGAAAAGAGAGAGAGUAAGAGACUGAAAAAUAAUAAAUGUUGGAAAGUCUGAAAGGUUGCAGGCAGAUACUUAGCUCGCCUUCUUGCUGUUGGAUUGAUAAGUAAUAUUGGCUAAUCUCUGAUGUCUAGAGUUUUUACAAUUACUUUGUAAUAAUUGUAGAUUUAUCUAUGUUAGCAAAGCUGCGAACUAGCUAGUGUGUUUAAAGGCAGAGGGUUAACUGUUAACAUCUAGUUAACUAUGAUAAUAUUGGCUCUGACAUUGUGGUUGCAGGUUUUAAUCUUCCAGCUUGUCAUGGAGAAACGGUGUAUUACAACUGUAGGGAUGGCCAUGUGCAAAAAUACAGAUUUUUUAAAUAUAUACCUCCACAGAGCUAACAUGACUUAGUAACAUGUAGGUAACAUGGCCUAACACACACUUACAAAGACAUACCGAGGUAGUACAUCUACCUGUCCUAAUUAGCAGGACAUCUAGAAACAAUUCUGAAGUCUUAAAUCCUCUUGACUACUCAAACCCACAGCACAUGUUUUUGCCUGCUGCACUCUCUGAGUUGCAUUAUUCACCAAAGUAAGUAAACAGCUUUUUACAGUUAGUUUGAUUUUGAUUGUUCAGCUAAAGAUUUUAAUUGUGGCUUCUAUCUUAAAACCAAGACCACUGUUGCAAAUCCCAGUUUUUGUCAGCAUCACUCAAUCAUUUAUACCAUGCAGACUAUAUCUGCCAAUACACACUAUUUACAUGGACAAGUUAAGAGGCUAACAGUAAUUUUUUGUCAAGAUAGAUGACCUUUCCCUCGGUCAUUUUAAGAUUUCUCAGCUAUCCUCACUCACCUAAGUCUAAUUAAAACCUUUGGUGAUCAAACAAUGCAAAGUCACACAGUUGUACAACUACAGUUGCUAAGCUAAAGAGCUGUUCUUGUGACUUUAUCUACAUGUAUUUGAACAGGCAGCCUGUUGCACCUGUCACAGCUGAGUAUACAUGUCAGUAUAGUAUGUCAACCACACCAAUGACAGGUUGCUAAUCUGUCACAGGUCUAACACAGACAGAGAGAACCCAUGGAGACACCAUACAACCAACCUCUGCACAGAAAGGCCCCAGGGUGGAUUCAAACACAAGACUAGAUUCUUUGAGGUGACACUGCUAACUGCUGCACCACUAUGCCAUUCCCUACUGAUACCAGAUACAUUCAAAUAAGUCUGGAAAGAGUGUUAUUCAAGACAAAAACCAAAAAUGCACUCAACACAAAUGCGUGUUCUACAUGCAAUCAGUGGAUGAAAAGUGGGAUGUAAUUCUAAGUCUGAGACAACAGCGAUGUCAGAGCUGAGUCUGUAUUAAACCUGCCCAUGCUGAAUAAGUAGCUGUCAUUGUUCCAACACAAGUUCUGGGUGGAAAUCUGGUUGACUGGUAGGGGAUGAGAUGCAAAGUCAGUGAAAUAUGAGCUCGAUAUUCAUCAAGUUCUCAGGCCACUAUAGAAGUGAUACAGAGGACUGAGUAGACCCUGCUGUGUGUGCUUUGGGAGACUUGACUCUCAAACUGAAAAAUAUACACUGGCUAUAUCUACUUAAAGUGUAUUUCCAUAUGGACAUAAAUUGGGAAAACAUAUAAAUUGCUCUCAUUCAUGCAUGCAUAUCGACAAAUAUUACUAAAAUAUGCAAUUUCUGGUUUUACAUUUUACAAUAUAUAGACUAAUUAAUUUCAAUAUAGAAACCUCUGUAUACAUUAGCUCACUUAAAAUUCUUUUCAGAUGUGAAAUAAAUACAACAUAGAACAAUAUGUUGACUAUUUAGUUAAUUAGCAAAGUGAGCUUUCAGAUAUAUGUAUUUUAGAAAUAAUUCAUUAAGAGAUUUAAGUAUACUGGUACAUGUCAGUAUAGUAUGUACAUUACAAGAUAGCAAUCACAUUAACUCAGUUUUGUUUUAAAGGUGCUUUUUUAAAAUUACCCUCUGCAGAAUCUAAUUAAAUAUUUGACUCCUAGGGGACAGUAUGCUGAAAUGUUUAUGGAUGUAUGCUGCUGAUCUUUUAAACCCUGAUAUUUCAUUUUAGUCCUAUCUGCAGUUCUUCAAGAGGUUUUCCUUCUGGAGGUCUCUGUCACUAAUACUAAUAACAAUAAAGGGCUAUUCUAUUCUAUUCUAUUCUGAAGGUAUUUUUAAGCAGUUGCCUGCUUAAAUACAGGUUACAAACUGGUAUUGCCCAGUACAGUCCAUCCCUAGUUUAACUUCAGCAAAUUAAACACUGUAGAUAAACAUUUUAUAAAUAAAGUCAAAGUGGCUGUUAAUUCACAUUCUCCUAAUAGCAUUAGUUAACUAAUUAAUGAUCAUUAAUUAAUAAUGCUUAACUUAAAAAGCAUUUAAACUAGAGCCCGACUGAUAUAGGAUUUUUAAGGCAGUUAUUGAUAUUUGUUUAAAAGUGUUUUAAAAUUUCAAUAAAUCAGCCGACUGUUUUCUUUUUUCAGACAUAUGAAAUGUAAACAGAUUUUCCAAACAUUUGUCAUAUGUAGUUAAUUAUGAGUCCUUACUGAGAUAAUAUGACAGAUUACAAAUAAUCUGUUAUACAGUCACAAUAAGUCACAGAUUACAGAUUUACGCUCUGUCCGACUUUGCUCGGAUCAGCUGGUUGUUAACUUAUUAUUUGUGACAUUUCAAAGUUGUGAAGCAAACAGGAAAGUUGCAGGAUGCCCCCUGUUGGAUAAAUUAAGUGCCUUUAAAUCCUUGACAUAAACUCUUUAAAGGAAGCUGCAAGACUAUUCUAAAAUCUAUUCCAUUAUUUUAAAAGCCAAUUUUAGUCAAUCACAAAUUUAUUUUACUCCUAAUUCAUUUGUUUCUUCUUAGAACUGUAAAUAUAAUUGUAAUAAUCUAUAUCAAAUUUUGAGGAUAUUAUAGCUAUUUUUUAUGCAUUCAUCUUGGGUCUUCAUCCACUGUGUUACAUGCAAUCAGUUUCAGUCCUCUCUGUUUCAGCCUACAAACUGCCACAGCACCAUAUUUCCUCCCCUCACCGAGAGACACACACACACACACCAAGGUCUGCUGAAAUGAAAUAAACUGUGGUGUAUUUAACAGGCACAAAGCAAAUUAAACCUUUGAAUUGUUGUCAAAAUACAGCUUUUCAAAUCUUGCGAUGCCUCAGACAGGGGCUUCAUGGAAGAAGACUUCCCUGUUCUUCUUUCAACAGGAUUCUGAAACCAAUCACCACUCGCACCAAAAGCCUGCUCACAUUUUGGAAAUGGAAGUGGUAUUUGCAGUCAUUUAUGGAUGCAUCACUCAUGGUUUCCCCAGCAUCUCACGAACUUCUGUUUGCCAUCACUACUACAUCACCUCUGAGGAGAUAUGAGGAGAUAGCUAUUUAGCCUUAAGAUCGUGCCUUAAGGGGCAUCCAGACGUGUAGCAACUAGCAACGAUGUGGCAACCAGUCACCACAGAAAACCAGUAACAUUCAGCAAGACAUGAAGUGGGCGGGACCCACGUUAAACAUUUUGCAGCUUCAAGAUGAGACACUGAAGCAUCUGCCAAUGAGUGUGGAGGAUACCACACUCAGGUUACUACCUAAGUCUGGAAUGACCGCUGGCAACUUACUACCAGCGACAAAAAGAAUAUGUGACAUGCAGAUGAGUCCCUGUGUGUGGUGGGCCCCCUUUGUACUUUAUAAAGAAUAUAAAAAACAACAUUCAGGAUUUCCACUUUUGUUGACCUUGUCCCUAAACGCAGCACAGAAUUUACAGAUUGGAGUGGGUCUUGGCAACAAAAUGUUACCAGUAAUUUCUAUAGGAGGUGUGAAGCCAAGUUAUUCUGACUAAAACUCUUAUUAUUGGGCUUUGGAAGUGGAAAAUGUGGUUUAAGUUGUAUGAAUUAACAUAGUUAUUUCCACAAUAAGUGCAUUAUCUGGAGCUUCUCUACUUUUUUCUUUUUUGUAUAACGUCUGUCAAGUCAGGACUCUUCUGUUAUAUGUUUUCUUUUCUUUUAGCUUGUUUAUUCAUGUAUUACAAACGCACUCAGAAGAUUUAGUUACAGCAGCCGUUUUAUUACAUAGAUCUAAAUGAAAAAAAGAAUCACAUCUAUUCCAGAAUUGCUCCUGCAUUACAGAAGGCCUAUCUAAAAUUGCUCUUUAUGAAAGCAUUUAUUGUGGAAAUAUCUUAUACAAGCAAGUAAAUGUAGUCACUGAAAAAAUGUCUGAUUUUAGAAGACUGCUGGGAUUAGCAGCUCAAAAUCACAAGAAAUAAAGAAAUAAAUAGAUUAAGAUGCACAUCACCACUGUCAUAUUAAUCAACCUCCAUUGUUCUCAUAUUGCAACAUGUCACCAUGACACCUACAAGUGAAUACACCUUCUAUUGAUAAAAAUCCACACACGACAAAAGCUUGAUUGGAUUUUUUUGUUGUUGUUUUAACGUACACACCCCUCAUCUGCGGAUUCCAUAAUGUAACAAGGGUGGCUGUAGCUCAGGUGGCAGAGCAGGUCAGCCGCUAAUCAGAAGGUCGGUGGUUCGAUCCCAGGCUGCAUCCUGGCUGCAUGUCAAAUAUCCUUGGGCAAGAUACUAACCCCAUGUUUGCCUACUGGUGGUGGUCAGAGGGCCCGGUGGCGCCUGUGUCCGGCAGCCUUGCCUCUGUCAGUGCGCCCCAGGGCAGCUGUGGCUACAAUGUAGCUUGCCAUUGCCAGUGUGUGAAUGACUGAAUGUAGUGUAAAGCGCUUUGGGGUCCUAUGGACUAGAAAAGCGCUAUACAAAUGCAGACCAUUUAACAAGAAGCAGCAUGUGUACUGUGUAAUAUAGCUGAGUUUCUGAUGUUAUGGCACUUUUGUUACUCAUCCAAUCAUUAAAAAAAUGAACCGUGUAGCUGCGUAGCAUCCAGCAAAUCCAUCACAUGUCAAACACACUUCUCAAUCUGUGGAAUCAAUAUUUGAACCUAUCUGUGAAAAUACAGCAAAAACAUUCGGCUCACUGUGUGUGACCUUCAGUGCCACACAGCGUUUUCUUGGAGCAUAGAUAGAGUCUCAACAAAUGACAAGCACAUAAAUAGAAACCGGACAAAAGAAGCAGAUAUAAAAAACACAAAUAAAAAACAAACAUUAAAUAAAGUUUGACACAAAUGAAACAGACAAAGAUUAAGGCCAAAUAAAGCCAGUGUUUU
Molecule: long non-coding RNA, 8981 nt
Organism: Astatotilapia calliptera (eastern happy)
Lineage: Eukaryota; Metazoa; Chordata; Actinopteri; Cichliformes; Cichlidae
Source: Ensembl